RNAcentral lists this transfer RNA (96 nucleotides) under Ampelomyces quisqualis. It matches the Rfam family "tRNA". Rfam says of the family: Transfer RNA (tRNA) molecules are approximately 80 nucleotides in length. Their secondary structure includes four short double-helical elements and three loops (D, anti-codon, and T loops). The record is from Rfam by way of RNAcentral. Lineage: Eukaryota; Fungi; Ascomycota; Dothideomycetes; Pleosporales; Phaeosphaeriaceae.
GCCCUUGUAGCUCAGUGGUAGAGCGCGUCACUAGUAUUCUACAGGUUGAACUGUGUUGCAAUGACGAGGUCGCUAGUUCGAUUCUAGUCGAGGGCA